Molecule: ribosomal RNA, 245 nt
Filed under: uncultured bacterium
Lineage: Bacteria
Description: partial 16S ribosomal RNA
Rfam family: Bacterial small subunit ribosomal RNA
Source: RNAcentral
UACAGAGGUCCCAAGCGUUGUUCGGAUUCACUGGGCGUAAAGGGUGCGUAGGUGGUGAGGUAAGUCGGAUGUGAAAUCUCUGAGCUCAACUCAGAAAUGGCAUUGGAAACUACCUUGCUAGAGGAUUGGAGGGGGGACUGGAAUUCUCGGUGUAGCAGUGAAAUGCGUAGAGAUCGAGAGGAACACCAGUGGCGAAGGCGAGUCCCUGGACAAUUCCUGACGCUGAGGCACGAAAGCUAGGGGAG